RNAcentral lists this ribosomal RNA (497 nucleotides) under uncultured bacterium. RNAcentral's name for it is "partial 16S ribosomal RNA". It matches the Rfam family "Bacterial small subunit ribosomal RNA", at positions 28 to 507 of the family's 1533-position model. The record is from RNAcentral.
GAUGAACGCUGGCGGCGUGCCUAAUACAUGCAAGUCGAGCGAACAGACGAGGAGCUUGCUCCUCUGACGUUAGCGGCGGACGGGUGAGUAACACGUGGAUAACCUACCUAUAAGACUGGGAUAACUUCGGGAAACCGGAGCUAAUACCGGAUAAUAUAUUGAACCGCAUGGUUCAAUAGUGAAAGACGGUUUUGCUGUCACUUAUAGAUGGAUCCGCGCCGCAUUAGCUAGUUGGUAAGGUAACGGCUUACCAAGGCGACGAUGCGUAGCCGACCUGAGAGGGAGAUCGGGCAAGCUGGAACUGAGACACGGUCCAGACUCCUACGGGAGGCAGCAGUAGGGAAUCUUCCGCGAUGGGCGAAAGCCUGACGGAGCAACGCCGCGUGAGUGAUGAAGGUCUUCGGAUCGUAAAACUCUGUUAUUAGGGAAGAACAAAUGUGUAAGUAACUAUGCACGUCUUGACGGUACCUAAUCAGAAAGCCACGGCUAACUACGUG